UACGAAGGGGGCUAGCGUUGUUCGGAAUUACUGGGCGUAAAGCGCACGCAGGCGGAUUUAUAAGUCAGGGGUGAAAUCCCGGGGCUCAACCUCGGAAUUGCCUUUGAUACUGUCUAUCUUGAGUCCGGGAGAGGUGAGUGGAAUUCCUAGUGUAGAGGUGAAAUUCGUAGAUAUUAGGAAGAACACCAGUGGCGAAGGCGGCUCACUGGCCCGGUACUGACGCUCAUGUGCGAAAGCGUGGUGAGCAAACGGG
This 253-nucleotide ribosomal RNA is filed under the name uncultured bacterium. Its description in RNAcentral is "partial 16S ribosomal RNA". It matches the Rfam family "Bacterial small subunit ribosomal RNA", at positions 524 to 776 of the family's 1533-position model. The record is from RNAcentral.